Molecule: non-coding RNA, 900 nt
Organism: Ictidomys tridecemlineatus (thirteen-lined ground squirrel)
Lineage: Eukaryota; Metazoa; Chordata; Mammalia; Rodentia; Sciuridae
Source: RefSeq, a predicted model, not a curated record
AGUUCAUGAUAUCAACAUGGAAUUGAUUCAGAAGCAGAAGAUGCGGACUCUGAGUGCAUACAAGGGCUCAUGAAACUCUCCAGUCCUCUCCUGGGAAGGGUGUAGUUCUGAUCUUCAUAUUCAAAGCUAUAUGACUGGCCCCAUUUCCACAUUUCAUUCUGUGGAAGGAGGAAGAAAGUGGUAGAAGCUCAGCCUUAGUCUGAAGAUCCUGCAGGGAACCUGGAGAAUUAGAAGUUGUGUGACUGAUGUGGGUGUGGGUCUGUGUGUACACAUGGGGACUUGCUCUGGCAAGUUCCUCAGUCUGUUCUAAAAUGGAAUUGAGUGUCUCAUUUGUUCAGUCACGGUGGAUAUGUUUGGAAGGACAGGAAUAUCAAGCUCUCGGUGAGUAUAGACUGGACUUUGAUAUCAUACAAGGGCCCACAGAAAAAGUUUUGCCAUGAGAUUUUUUAAAAUUGGAACAAGAUCUCUUGUGUUUUGAUGGUGAUGCUGCCAUUCUGCUGAACAAGCUGGUUUUAUAAGAAAGUCUGCCUGAUAUUGCAUGGAAUUGUGUAAUUACAAAAGACAAGGGUGAAGGAGUAUGAAUGCAUUGGGUUUCUUUGGAUGAAUAAUGAAGUGAAAAUACCCUUUAAGAGUAACUGAGUAGUCUAUUGUUAAGUCUUUGAAGUUUGGCAAGAAGAGUUAAAAAAAUGUUUCUCUUAAAAUUGUAUUUGGUAUUUAAAUUUGAGAUACAAGGUUAUAAUAAUCUGAAGACCUUAGCAUUUUGGAUUCCUAGAACUUGUUAUCUGAAAACUCUCCCACGUUCUUACACUUAACUUCAUAAAAUUUGUAAAUUUGGUAAAGACAGGUUUUUGACCAAGUUUCGUUGUAGAAAAUUUGGAAUAAAAGGGAGUUCAAAGACUU